UCUCCACAUGCCUGGCAUUUCUUAACAAAUGCAGCUGCCAUAGCAACAGGGAAGUAAGGGAAUGUAACAAAGCCCUGGGAGAACCUGGCAAAAACAAACAAGCCCUUAGGGGCAUUCACUACAGGAGGGCUGAGUAAAGUCUAGGGAUAAAACAAAAGUAUUGUCAAGCAGUUUGGAUCAAACCAGGAGUCAGAAUCCAAGGGAUUAGGAAGAGAGUUGUUAAACAGUCCAAGGUCAAACACCAAAAGGAGCUGCUUCACACAAAGGGACGUUUCCCCUACACAGCAAGAAAUGAUCCCAAAAAAGCAAUGGAAAUAAGAGGGAAAGGGAACAUAUGGCCUUCCAAGUGCUGUUGGACUGAAGGACCCAUGAACACUAUCCAGUACAGCCAAAGGAGCAACCGGAGCUACUUCUGGAGUGAGAGAAUUGGCCGUCUGCAAGGACGUUGCCCAGGGGACGCCCAGAUGUUUUGAUGUUUUACCAUCCUUGUGGGAGGCUUCUCUCAUGUCCACGCAUGGAGCUGGAGCUGAUAGAGGGAGCUCAUCCAUGCUCUCCCCGGGUGGGAUUCGAACCUGGCAGCCUUCAGGUCAGCAACCCAACCUUCAAGUCACAAGGCUUUUAUCCUCUAGGCCAUCAAAGGCUCCAUCAAGAACCAAUGAAGAAGGCACUUCCUAGUUGUCAUCCAAGGGCAGUAGCAUUUUUGACAUUUCCAAAGUCUCUACAGAUGGUGCAAAAUGUUCAAUAUCUAGGUUGUAUUAAUCAUGAUUUAAAAAGCCAGAAUAGUUUCAGAUAAUGAGAAUCUAUGACAACAAGACUGUGGUCCUCUUACUCUCUUUGGCCUAUCUUGUCAGCUCAGUCCUACACACCAUCCCACCAAGCUGAUAGGGAUGGCAGGUGAUAAAUUCCAUCUGGAUGUCAUAGAAAGGACAACAGGGCCUUCUACCUACUCACUCAACUUCAGUCAAAAUGAGCCACCUCUUCCUAAUCACUUGCUCACGAGCACUCUGUCUCUGGAUAGCACAACAGUAAGAAUUGGAUCCAACAAACCCAAUCCUCUCUUCUGGAUCGCUAUGUAUUUUAUGAAUGUUAUUUUACUGUUAUUGUUUUAAUUAUAUAUGCUGCCGUCAUAUUGUUUUAUCCGUUGAUCGGGCUUGGUCCCCAUGUGAACCGCUCUGAGUCCCCUCGGGGAGAUGGAAGCGGGUUAUAAAUAAAGUUAUUAUUAUUAUUUUA
Anolis carolinensis (green anole) is the source of this 1230-nucleotide long non-coding RNA. RefSeq lists it as uncharacterized. Lineage: Eukaryota; Metazoa; Chordata; Lepidosauria; Squamata; Anolidae. The transcript has 4 exons. The record is from RefSeq and is a predicted model, not a curated record.